This 400-nucleotide ribosomal RNA is filed under the name Eusarcus incus. RNAcentral describes it as "partial small subunit ribosomal RNA". The record is from RNAcentral. Lineage: Eukaryota; Metazoa; Arthropoda; Arachnida; Opiliones; Gonyleptidae.
AGGAUUAGAUACCCUAGUAUAAUUAAAGAAGGGGGGAUAAGUAUAUAAUAUUGAAAAUUAAUGAUUUUGGCGGUUAAUUAAUAUAUUAGAGGGGUUUGUUUUGGAAAAGUAAAUUCUCUUUAUAUUUAUAAAUUUUAAUGUUUAUUCAUCUCCGUUAUUAGGUAUAUUUAUUUAUAUUAUAGAAGAUUGAUUUUUAAUUUCAGGUCAAGAUGUAGCUUAAACUUUAAAUAAAAAUUAACUAAGUUAGUCAUUAUUCAUCUUUUUAGGUUAUAUAUGAGGGAAGUAAAUUUAAUUGUAAUAAUAUUUAUAAAGAUAUUAUGAAAUUAUUUAAUUAGUGUACAGAUUGCCCGUCACUUCUAUUUAAGGAUAGAAUAAGUCGUAACAAAGUAAAUUUAAGGGA